Molecule: small RNA, 504 nt
Filed under: Pongo abelii (Sumatran orangutan)
Lineage: Eukaryota; Metazoa; Chordata; Mammalia; Primates; Hominidae
Description: processed transcript
Source: RNAcentral
AGGAGGCCGACUCCGCCGAGUCGGUGGCGGCCGGAGGCUGGGAGGGAGCAGUGUUACGCCUUCGCAGGUUGGCGAAGUGGUUUCAGGCUACCCGGCUAGUCUGGCACGGCCCCGCCUUCUGCCUCCUCCUCCGUCGCGUAGCGGCGGGAACUGUUGGCCGCGCGGCCUCGGGAACGGCCCAGGUCCCCGCCCGCAGGUCCCGGGCAGCCGGAAAUCACUGUGGAAAAUCUUCCCAGUUAUUUCAGACUUCAGAAACCAUUAUUGAUUUUGUUCAGUGAUGGCAGUGUAAAUCCUCAAUAUAAAAAAGCAAUAUUGACACUGGUAAAGCAGAAAUACUUGGAUUCAUUUACUCCUUGCUGGUUAAAUCUAAAGAAUACUCCAGUGGGGAGAGGAAUCUUGCGGGCAUAUUUUGAUCCUCUGCCUCCCCUUCCUCUACUUGUUUUGGUGAAUCUGCAUUCAGGUGGCCAAGUAUUUGCAUUUCCUUCAGACCAGGCUAUAAUUGAA